Molecule: ribosomal RNA, 1908 nt
Filed under: Triticum aestivum (bread wheat)
Lineage: Eukaryota; Viridiplantae; Streptophyta; Magnoliopsida; Poales; Poaceae
Description: partial small subunit ribosomal RNA
Source: RNAcentral
GGAUCAAGCACUUCGUAGCGUUCUUCUUCGUUCGUUUGGUCGAUCGAUUUACCGCGGCUAAGUGUCGAGUGCGGCGGAGCUGCCGUGUGACGAACGCGAAGACGAGCACGAGCACCGGCGGUGACGGAAACAGUCGCGCCGGCGCCGCGCUCCCCUGCGCGACCGGCGGGCCGUGCUCGCCACCUACCGGUUCAUGCCCGCGCACAUGUGCCUGCGACGGCUCUUUAACGCGGCCGUCCUCCACAAGCGCCGGUCGCGCGCCGUGUAUCUACGACAGUUGGCCCGCCCGUUGGACUGCAUGUGAGAGCCCGAGUUGGUCAAGAGGCUGGAGUGGUUGCUUCUCAAGCACCUCUUCGUGGAGCCCAUGGCAGUGGUCGCGCCGCUCCUUUCGUGCGGCUACCGGCGCCACUUGUACAGGUACCGAGUCAAGCUCAGGUGCGGCCUGUCGCACCUGACCUCCCGGGUCCCGCGGCAGUGGGUUUAGUUCCUGGUCCGACGGACGUCAACAACGACCCGUAAGCGCCGCCACCGCCGCUGCCUUCCCGAGCAUGUCUAGCGGUGGUCGUUGGAGUAGAGGUACAGUCUCGUCGUCCACGAGCUGACGUGGCCGCUGGGGUCGUUGACGCUAUCACCGAUGCAGUUGCUGCGGAAUUCGAUGUAGCGGUUCUCGCCGCCGGACGUCGUCCUCCGUCGGAUGGGCAUAUAGCCGGUCGUCCCGCGCACGGCGCCGCCGCUGCAGUCGGGUUUAAGCCGGCGGCGGCAGCCGCGUGGGGCCACCCACUUGGACUUGCCGCUGCUCCCGCGCAACGUCCUCGAGCAGCGGUCGGUCGGCCACCGGCACCCGCACCUCCGGCUGGAACUGAAGGUGGUGAUGUGCUCGCCACACAUGUGGCCGUCGAGCAGCACGCCCGUCUUGGACUUGGUGCGGCACUGCCACCAGCCGAUGCCCUGCCUGCCGCCGCCCGUCCUCAUGACCAACCACUUCUUGGUCACCCCCUGCCCCACCCCGCUCCCCCCGAUGUACGCGGAGUGCGCGCCCUUGCCGCCGUUGACGCCGUACCGGUGGAUGCGGAUGAUGGGGUGGUACCUGUCGAGAAUUUGUGGCCAUGUCGCUAGGGUAGGCCGUAGCGAUCGAGCGUCGUGUCGCUAGCGUAGGCCGUAGCGAGCGAGCGUCGCGACGGGACAACGCCCCACCCGAAAAAAAACAACAAAACCCGGCUCAGACAACGAUCGAAAUGUAAAAAACAAAAACCCGGCGCGGACAAAACGCCCGAAAGAAAGAAAAACCCAGCGCGAACAACGCCCGACAAAAAAAAACCGGCGCAGAAAACGACCAGCAAUCAAAAGUAAAACUCCUGUAAAAAAAUAAAAACCUAUAAGAAAAAACGUAUGUUGUGUACUCUGUAAAAAAUUUUUAUCAAUGGAAAAAAUGAGUAAAAAACAAAAAGAUAAAAAAAGCACCUAUGUAUUUUACGGUCUAUCCCAACGAUGUUCGAACUUGUAGCAGUUUUUUCCCUACAGAUCCGAAGUAGAUCAGUUACCCAGGGGACAACGUACAGUUCGUAGCUGAGUGUUGAUCCCACACACACACACACACACAAACAUACACACAAAAUAAACACCGGGGGGUCAACGUUUAAGUGAUAGUUGAGCGUUAAUACCCUGUACACAUACACACAGCUCCCAGGGAUUAAUAACGUACAGCUAUUGGCUGAAUACUGAUUUCACAUACACACACACACAAAAUAAGCACCGGGGGUCAACGUUCGACUGGUGGUUGAGCGUUGAUCCCCUACACACAGGUCCCAGAGGUUAACGUACAGCUAUUUACUGAACGUUGAUCCCCACACACACACACGCGCGGAAAAAACAGUUCCCCAGGGCUCAACGUACAGGUCGUAGCUGAAU